Salmo salar (Atlantic salmon) is the source of this 54-nucleotide non-coding RNA. The record is from Rfam. Lineage: Eukaryota; Metazoa; Chordata; Actinopteri; Salmoniformes; Salmonidae.
GUUUGACUUAACUGUAAGUCGCUCUGGAUAAGAGCAUCUGCUAAAUGACUAAAA